AGGCCAGUAGCAUAGCUGGUUAAUGCGACGGACUCCAAAUCCGUAGAUCGUGGGUUCGAAUCCUACCUGGCCUGCCA
RNAcentral lists this transfer RNA (77 nucleotides) under Desulfonema limicola. RNAcentral describes it as "tRNA-Trp". It matches the Rfam family "tRNA". From Rfam's summary of the family: Transfer RNA (tRNA) molecules are approximately 80 nucleotides in length. Their secondary structure includes four short double-helical elements and three loops (D, anti-codon, and T loops). The record is from RNAcentral. Lineage: Bacteria; Pseudomonadati; Thermodesulfobacteriota; Desulfobacteria; Desulfobacterales; Desulfococcaceae.